This 301-nucleotide ribosomal RNA is filed under the name uncultured bacterium. RNAcentral's name for it is "partial 16S ribosomal RNA". It matches the Rfam family "Bacterial small subunit ribosomal RNA", at positions 509 to 807 of the family's 1533-position model. The record is from RNAcentral.
CAGUCGCCACGGUAAUACGGAGGGUGCAAGCGUUAAUCGGAAUUACUGGGCGUAAAGCGCACGCAGGCGGUUUGUUAAGUCAGAUGUGAAAUCCCCAAGCUUAACUUGGGAACUGCAUUUGAAACUGGCAAGCUAGAGUCUUGUAGAGGGGGGUAGAAUUCCAGGUGUAGCGGUGAAAUGCGUAGAGAUCUGGAGGAAUACCGGUGGCGAAGGCGGCCCCCUGGACAAAGACUGACGCUCAGGUGCGAAAGCGUGGGGAGCAAACAGGAUUAGAUACCCGGGUAGUCCCUGUCUCUUAUAC